Molecule: small nucleolar RNA, 104 nt
Filed under: Microcebus murinus (gray mouse lemur)
Lineage: Eukaryota; Metazoa; Chordata; Mammalia; Primates; Cheirogaleidae
Description: Small nucleolar RNA U13 (ENSMICG00000045864.1)
Rfam family: Small nucleolar RNA U13
Source: Rfam by way of RNAcentral
AUCCUUUUGUAGUUCAUAAGCGUGAUGAUUGGGUUUUCACGCGCAUGCGUGAGAUGUGUCUCCCUCAAACCUUGUUACGACGUCGGCACAUUACCCGUCUGACG